Molecule: ribosomal RNA, 263 nt
Filed under: uncultured Pseudomonas sp.
Lineage: Bacteria; Pseudomonadati; Pseudomonadota; Gammaproteobacteria; Pseudomonadales; Pseudomonadaceae
Description: partial 16S ribosomal RNA
Rfam family: Bacterial small subunit ribosomal RNA
Source: RNAcentral
CACGUUAUGGUGGGCACUCUAAGGAGACUGCCGGUGGACAACCGGAGGAAGGUAGGGGAUGACGUCAAGUCCAUCAUGGCCCUUACGGCCUGGGCUACACACGUGCUACAAUGGUCGGUACAAAGGGUUGCCAAGCCGCGAGGUGGAGCUAAUCCCAUAAAACCGAUCGUAGUCCGGAUCGCAGUCUGCAACUCGACUGCGUGAAGUCGGAAUCGCUAGUAAUCGUGAAUCAGAAUGUCACGGUGAAUACGUUCCCGGGCCUU